This is a long non-coding RNA of Nerophis ophidion (straightnose pipefish), 2826 nucleotides long. RefSeq lists it as uncharacterized. The record is from RefSeq and is a predicted model, not a curated record. NCBI's taxonomy places the organism in Eukaryota, Metazoa, Chordata, Actinopteri, Syngnathiformes, Syngnathidae. The transcript has 9 exons.
GGAACCGUUUCAAAUGUAAUUAGACUCCUUUUCUAGGAUAAUUCUGGAAGAUCCCUUAUCUGCUUGUUGUGUUAAUAGUGUUUUAGUGAGAUUAUAAAGUCAUACCUGAAAGUCGGAUGGCUGCGGUGAACGCCAAUGUCUCUGAGAGAAGCCAAUGGAGGAGCCAAGAUCACAGCUGCCUUUUUGAGCUGCAGGAGGAAGUCGCAUAAUCUGCUGAAGUCUCCGGUAAGAGUUGACUUUAUAUCACAAUUUUCCCAUCCAAAAACUUGCUGGUUUUAUGUAGAGAAACAUCUUCGCUUGACCGCUCUGUGUUAAAGCUUCACAACAAACAAAGAAACACAGGCUGUGUUUCGGUGCUAAAAGCAGCUGCAAUCCACCGCAUUUCCACCAACAACAUUCUUCUUUAUAGUCUCCUUUAUUAAUUGCCCACAUAUGCCGUCCUCUCAAAGGUUUCUCAUAGUCAUCAUUGUUGACAUUCCACUGGGGUGAAUUUUUCCUUGCCCUUAUGUGGGCUCUACCGAGGAUGUCGUUGUGGUUUGUGCAGCCCUUUGAGACACUUGAGAUUUAGGGCUAUAUAAAUAAACAUUGAUUGAUUGAUUGAUGAUUGUUAUAAAGCACACUGUUUAUAUUAAUCAUGCUUCGCUGAUUCGAGUAUUUGGUGAGCGCCGUUUUGUCCUACUAAUAUUGGCGGUCCUUGAACUCACCGCAGUUUGUUUACAAGUACAACUUUCUCAGACGUGUUUUAUGCCACUUCUUUUUCUGUCUCAUUUUGUCCACCAAACUUUUAACGUUGUGCAUGAAUGCACAAAGUGGUUUUCAAAUGGGGGUACGUGUACCCCUGGGGGUACUUGAAGGUAUGCCAAGAGCAAAUGCGUCACGGACCGGUGCCGGUCCCCGGACCAAUGGUUGGGGACCACUGCUGAUCUGCAUAGUGCCGCCACGGCUCAAACCAUCCUAAAUCACAAGUGUCUCAAAGAGCUGCACAGGCCACAACGACAUCUGAAGAUCAGCGCCCACAUAAGGGUCAGCAGAGAAGGCCUCGCUGGUCCUGACGGCACAUCACUGAACAACAGGCAGCAGUGAGGAGGAGCAUGCUGCAGAGGCCGCAGGCAGACUUCUUCCUCCGUCCUGCAUGUUCCACUCACUUCCUGCAAGAAUGGCAGCAAUGCAGGUAAUCCUCGAUGGAAGCGAGGCCAUGGGAAGGAUUUGACGCUUGACAACUUUAGGCCUCGUGCCUAACCUACGGCUACGAGACAAGACGUAUCAUGGCCACAUAAAAAGAGCCACAAAGGAGUCCACACAUCAGGAGCUCUCUGCUACCGACAUCACCUUCCGAGCUGAGUGUGUGAUUGCAGCUGCUUGAUGAAGAGACUUCUGUUGGAGGAGGAGACGAUUGGAAGAUCUCGAGCUGUCCCAUCAUGCAUCACAAAGGUCUCUCAGUGGACUGGACAAACUCCCUCUCGAUCUGCAGGACAACAUUCCUGAAAUUCUGGUGCGCUUGCAUGAUGCUUGGCAGAGCUGCAAAUUCUUCCCACCUCAAGUCGCCUUGGCUGUUAGUGAGGAAGCACAUGAACCUAUUUUUUUAAAAUAGUCCACAAGGGAAUAUUUGCCAAUGUGAUUGACUGGUGACCAGUCCAAACGGGUGUAUGAUUCCACUCAGUCUAGGACUGAAAAGCUAGUGGUUGUGUACAUGUUGCCAACUGAAUCAACCCAUUUUUAAAUGUAAUUCUGCAUCUAACUGUGGAAGGGUUACUGUUCCAGUUGCAUAAAAGAAAAGCCUGAAGGAGAUUGGUCUGGAAGAACAGACAUUGAGCAUGAAGGACCUGGAGGAGAUUGGUCUGGAAGAAAAGACACUGAGCAUGAAGGGAAAAUAAUCAGAUAAAUUUGCAGGUGUCACGUCACAUAAAAAACCAAAAAACAAAACCAUUACAGUUUGUGUGAUUGAUAAUACAAAUUUUCAGAGCAACAGGUAUUAUUUUGUCCACGAUAGUAGUAACUAUUUAAUAUCAUCCUUACACCAUCUUUCCACUUUAAUAAGAAUAUUCACACACAUUUUAAUGGUGCACAACUUUAAUAGAAUAUUUGAAAUCUGUACAAAUUGAAAAUAAUUACCCAAGUUAAUUGUGAAUAAACCGGUAAGGCCAUUUGUAGCACAGGACGCCAUGUGGUACGUUACAGGAUCCCACGCCCGGCUCAAAUCCUUGCAACCAGAUACUAAAGACCAUGAGUAAAGCGGGUCGGGUUAGUUUACUACUUAGCUGACCUAAUGUUGGCAGUACGACCAAACGCAAAAUCUAAAAAUGGUGGUACAAAAUGCAUUGGCAAUGUGUUUUCAAUUAAACACACAAUAACAAACAUGUUUGAACGUGUGAGCAGUAUUGGCAAACAAUCAAUUUGGCUUUGUCGAGAUCCAAACAAGCUGCCUGCUGUCACCAUUCAUAUAAGUGACAUCACAGCUAAAGGGUCAUAGUUCGGACAGUUCGUGAACAUCCUCAUCAAUGCGGCGAAAUAUUCAACAUAACCAGGAAAAUCAGGACGUUGGAGGACGCUGAAAAAGCUUCCGUGUGACAUUUUUGUCCAUUCAAGUGCUCGUAUAUAAAUGCUUGUUUAAGCGCCAUUAAAAGUGUUGAAGAGCAUCCCUUAACGGUUCAAACCAGAACGGAACAGUUCCCUCCCCCCCGAGAGGCCGUGAGACUUCCAAAACUGCAUCGCAUAUCACACCAGCAUAAAUACAUGACCAGCAUGGCAUGAGAAUGACAACAAGUGUAAAUUAAAGUGAUAAACUAUAACUCCCAUCAGUCACUUUCCUGGUCGAGUCAAUUCUUG